RNAcentral lists this transfer RNA (76 nucleotides) under Verrucomicrobiaceae bacterium. RNAcentral describes it as "tRNA-Gln". It matches the Rfam family "tRNA". Rfam says of the family: Transfer RNA (tRNA) molecules are approximately 80 nucleotides in length. Their secondary structure includes four short double-helical elements and three loops (D, anti-codon, and T loops). The record is from RNAcentral. Lineage: Bacteria; Pseudomonadati; Verrucomicrobiota; Verrucomicrobiia; Verrucomicrobiales; Verrucomicrobiaceae.
AGCCCUUUAGCUCAAGCAGCGAGAGCAUCCGAUUUUGACUCGGAAGGUGACGGUGCAAGUCCGUCCGGGGCCUCCC